AGCUAUGAGGCAGGGGGAGGUGAGUGACAGAAACAGAGUUUGCUAUUCAGCCGGUGGCAGCAAACUGCAUUAGACUCCUCUGCCAAGGAUAGGAGCCUAACAGCAGCUACCUCCCCGCCCUCCCUAGCCUCUCUUUCCCUCAAGUGUCUGUCCAAAAACCCUUGUCUCGAGUCACUCUCUGGGCUGACUCUCAUUUUACCCGACUUGUGAAAGAGUGGUAGUAGUUGUUGUGAAGAUCAAAUGAGUUAAUGAACUUAAAUUUGUCUCAUCUCUAAAAAGGAAUGAAUAAGCUCUCUUUGACUCCUAGGAAGGCACACAGAAGAAUAAAUGACAGCCACGCCCCACCACAUCAUCAGUUUUUAGGAUAUGGAUCUCAGCACUUGGGGACGCCGCCUGCUCCUGAACUGAAGGCAACAUUUGUGAACCGGAAUCAUGGCAGAGGCUACUUUUCACCCGCCCUCACUUGGUUCUAUUUAUGAUUCCCCGGUUCCCCUCCAGCCCAAGUGAACCUCUUCUUUCGUUGUUUCCAUAUGACCUUUCUUACAACUGUA
Mirounga angustirostris (Northern elephant seal) is the source of this 551-nucleotide long non-coding RNA. RefSeq lists it as uncharacterized. The transcript has 2 exons. The record is from RefSeq and is a predicted model, not a curated record. NCBI's taxonomy places the organism in Eukaryota, Metazoa, Chordata, Mammalia, Carnivora, Phocidae.